GGUGCUAUAGCCAAGUGGUUACGGCGACAGAUUCGAAUUACUGUAAUCUCAUCUGUUCCUCUUUGAGGGCGCAGGUUCAAAUCCUGCUGGCAUCG
Non-coding RNA from Marasmius fiardii PR-910, 95 nucleotides. NCBI's taxonomy places the organism in Eukaryota, Fungi, Basidiomycota, Agaricomycetes, Agaricales, Marasmiaceae. The record is from the annotation of a GenBank genome assembly.